UCGUAGGCUGCAACUCGCCUACGUGAAGUCGGAAUCGCUAGUAAUCGCAGGUCAGCACACUGCGGUGAAUACGUUCCCGGGCCUUGUACACACCGCCCGUCACACCACGAAAGUCGGAAGUGCCCAAAGCCGGUGGGGUAACCUUCGGGAGCCAGCCGUCUAAGGUAAAGUCGAUGAUUGGGGUGAAGUCGUAACAAGGUAGCCGUAUCGGAAGGUGCGGCUGGAUCA
RNAcentral lists this ribosomal RNA (228 nucleotides) under Vibrio cholerae. RNAcentral's name for it is "partial 16S ribosomal RNA". It matches the Rfam family "Bacterial small subunit ribosomal RNA", at positions 1298 to 1525 of the family's 1533-position model. The record is from RNAcentral. Lineage: Bacteria; Pseudomonadati; Pseudomonadota; Gammaproteobacteria; Vibrionales; Vibrionaceae.